AGUGAACGCUGGCGGUAGGCCUAACACAUGCAAGUCGAACGGCAGCACAGGAGAGCUUGCUCUCUAGGUGGCGAGUGGCGGACGGGUGAGGAAUACAUCGGAAUCUGCCCAGUCGUGGGGGAUAACGUAGGGAAACUUACGCUAAUACCGCAUACGACCUUCGGGUGAAAGAGGGGGAUCGCAAGACCUCUCGCGAUUGGAUGAGCCGAUGUCGGAUUAGCUAGUUAGCGGGGUAAUGGCCCACCAAGGCGACGAUCCGUAGCUGGUCUGAGAGGAUGAUCGGCCAAGCGGGAACGGGGAAACGGUCCAGACUCCUACGGGAGGCAGCAGGGGGGAAUAUUGGAAAAGGGGCGAAAGCCUGAUCCCGCCAUACCGGGGGGGUGAAGAAGGCCUUCGGGGUGUAAAGCCCUUUUGUUGGGAAAAAAAUUUUUCAGGCUAAACCCCUGGGGGGAUGACGGAACCAAAAAAAAAAGCACCGGCUACCUUCGU
Molecule: ribosomal RNA, 489 nt
Filed under: uncultured bacterium
Lineage: Bacteria
Description: partial 16S ribosomal RNA
Rfam family: Bacterial small subunit ribosomal RNA
Source: RNAcentral